CUAAGAAUAUUCCGCAAUGGACGGAAGUCUGACGGAGCGACGCCGCGUGGAUGACGAAGGCCGAAAGGUUGUAAAGUUCUUUUGCUGGGGAAGAAUAACCGCAGGAGGGAAUGCCUGUGGGAUGACAAGAACCGGCGAAUAAGCCCCGGCAACUACGUGCCGGCAGCCGCGGUAACACGUAGGGGGGCCGAGCGUUGUUCGGAAUUACUGGGCGUAAAGGGCAUGUAGGCGGCUUGGAAAGCCUGGCGUGAAAAGUCUGCAGGCUUAAACUGCAGGGGUGCGCUGGGAACUGCUGAGCUUGAGUGACGGAGAGGGAGCUGGAAUUCCUGGUGUAGGGGUGAAAUCUGUAGAUAUCAGGAAGAACACCGAUGGCGAAGGCAAGCUCCUGGCCGAUGACUGACGCUGAGGCGCGAAAGUGUGGGGAUCAAACAGGAUUAGAUACCCUGGUAGUCCAGCACAGUCAACGAUGUGCACCUAGGUGCUGGGGCGGUAGCUUCGGUGCCGGAGCG
Molecule: ribosomal RNA, 509 nt
Filed under: uncultured bacterium
Lineage: Bacteria
Description: partial 16S ribosomal RNA
Rfam family: Bacterial small subunit ribosomal RNA
Source: RNAcentral